GCACUUCAUUGUUGAGACAGGAUGUCUUCUUACAUAGUAAGUUUUGAUUAAACAUUUUGAUUCGUUUGCAGUUUAUAGAUUCAAACUCAGUAAACUUGUAUACUAGAUUUGGUGACUUGCACAAUGAACAAUAGUUUUUAAAUCUUGUUCUUUAAGAGGUUUAUUUUCUUAUUACCAUCAUUCAUGUUAAAUUUUAAUGAAGACUAUUGUUGUCUUUCCAACCUUCAUAAUUGUAACCGGUAAGAUCAAUGUCUUAUUGUGAUUUUCCUUGUUCAACCGAGUAGGAUCACAGUGAAUUAUAGAAAUUUUCCUCAUCCAUCUUACUUACAUAUCUUGGUAUUUAGAAUUGUUAUAUAUAUAUAUAUAUAUAUCUUGAUAUCUUAGUCUUUUCAAUAUUCUGUCAUUUUUGUUCUUUCAAAUGUUGUGUGGCCAAACCUAGCUGUAGGACUUCUUUGUUGUGAUCAAUAUUAAUAUUUGAGAUCAAUAUAUUUUUGUUCUAAUUUGAGUUAUGAGAUGCAUACAUAGUACCAAACAAAUUAAUAAUGACAAAGAAAGAGACAUAGUUGGUUGAAGGUUGAGUGAUGAAGAAUGAUAAUAAAUUUCAAAUGAAUCAACAGCUAGAGGCAUUCCAUCACUAUUUAAAGUGCAUGAUUCUGGUUUAGAGCCAUCGGUGCUCUACAAUAAAGCGCGAAGAACGUCAGAAACCGUGUGCAUAUAAGCCGUUCGAUUCUUCGAUUGCAGCCAUGUCAAACCCAUUAAUUCACAAUCUUUGUUGUGAAUUUUUGUGGUCCUAUCUUCAAUUUUGCUUGAAUUUGAAGUCUUUUUGUUAAGCUGCUUAGAAGUAUUUAUAUUUCAAUUAGAAUAUAAAAAAAGAAGUCCUAUUUUUUGAUAUGAAACUCGAUGUUGUUACUUAUAAAUCUUUAAUGAAUGGUUAUUUCUUACUAGAUGAUGUAAACAAGGCCAAAUAUGUAUUUCACAUCAUGAUCCGAAAAGGGGUGACUCUUAAUGUUCGUAGCUACAAUAUUUUGAUUAAUGAAUUAUGUAAGAAUAAAAUGGUGGACGAAGCCAUGCAUGUUUUUAAAGAAAUACGUUUCAAAAAUAUGGCGCCUAACACUAUCACAUAUAGUUUCCUCAUUGAUGGACUUUGCAAAUCAGAGAGAAUCUCUGAAGUUUGGGAUCUUUUAGAUGAGAUGCAUGAUAGAGGUCAACCUGCUGACAUUAUCACUUACAAUUCCAUAUUAGAUGUUUUGUGCAAAAACAAUCAUGUUGACAAGGCAAUUGCAUUAUUGACGAAAAUCAAAGACCGGGGAAUUCAGCUAAAUAUGUGUACAUACACAAUACUUGUUAAUGGACUAUGCAAAAGUGAAAGACUUAAAGAUGCACAAAAGGUUUAUGAAGAUCUUCUGAUGAAAGGCUAUCGUUUGGAUGUUAGGAUCUAUACUAUUAUGAUUCAAGGGCUUUGUAAAGAGGGCUUACUUGUUGAAGCAUUAUCCUUGCUAUCAAAAAUAGAAGACAAUGGUUGCAUUCCUAAUGUUGUAACUUACGAUAUUAUCAUUCGUUGUUUGUUUGAAAACAACCAGAAUGAUAAGGCAGUAAAACUUCUUCAAGAAAUGGUUGUGAGGGGUCUAAUGUAAAAGCAAAACUAGAUGAGAGGCUUUCUAGUUACAAUUUGUUAUUUGAAUUUGAAUAUGAUCAUCUAAUUUUUUUUUUCGUUUCAUAGUUAUACUACAGGAUUAGAGAAAUUGGUUCACUGUUAUGUUUGUUUUAAUUAAAAGUUAAACAUUGCUAGUUUCUUGGUCCAAUGACAGAAGCAACUAGCACAUGAAGCCUCUUGGAAGAUAUCUUUUAGUUUACGUGCAAGAUUGCGGUUGGGGGAGGCAUUGUUAGGAAUUGUGGAAGGAGGAUAUUAACUGUGUACACUGGGAGAAAGAGGAAGAUAUUAAGUGAGAGUUAGUACUGUAAGGAAGGCUCUAGUUGAGAUAUAAAUAGAAGGGCUCUAAAAAGAGGGGUACAUUGAUGAUUAUCCUCCAAGUCUAAAAGUUAUAAAAGAAUUAAUGAAUUAUGUCAAUUUUAUUAAUCUCCAUAAUCGAGAAAAAAAAACCCAAGCUUAUACGACAAUCUUCCAUCCCAGUGGCAGCCGAUUAGUUCACAAGAAUUUUCAUGUGUAGGUCAUAGAGUUCUUAAAAAAUUCCAAUGGCAGAUAGUGAGAGUACAAGAAAUUGGAGAAAACUUUGAUCAAACUACUCAACUAGAACAAAACUCUCAAAUGAAAAUUGAACAACAAUUUGCAACAAUGAAUUUUGAAGAAAAUUCAAUGGAUAUUGAUACUUCAGAAAAUCCUGACGAAGAAACUUUGAGAGAAAUGGCUGAAGACAUCUGGCAGUAUGACUCACAUUACUCCCCUAGCUAUUUUUCAGAAGAAUACAUCUCUUAUCAGAAUUUGUCUCCAAGUCACUAGCCUAUCUUUAAAGACUGUCAAAAGAGUCGUGAAUAUGUCUUGUAUAAUUAUUAUAUGAAUAGUUGUACUUUUGUCUGCUUGUGUAAAAGAAUGCUAAUAAUAUGACAUAAUAGUCAAAAUGUGUUGUGGAUAUGUCUUCCAUUAUUUUAAAGCAUUUUAGUAGUGCUUAUAAUGGUAUGAUCAUGAAUAGUUUGUAUUUUGUUCUUUUGUGUAACUUUUUGGAUAUCAAAGAAGAUGUAUUGUAACAUAUGAACUCAGAAGCAAUUGAAAUAAAAUCGUCAGUGUGCUUAAGUAUAAAUAUGUUCUUCUAAAUUUUCUCUUCUUUUUGAAAACUCUAAUUAUUAUGUUCAUAUCAUAAAUCCCCCAUAAGAGAUGCAAUUAUGCUCUACACUCGCCUCAGAAAUGAGGAUCUUGUGUAUAAGAAAACAUCUUACUAUUGAUCCAUGCUACGGUCCUCUCUAUUAUGAGAUGAUAGUUUUAGCUAUUUUUCUGUGCUUGAGACUUUGUACAUAUGAGAGAUUAUUGUUUGUCUCGCUUGACUGUACAGUUAAGACUAAUCUCACAAUAUGUGAGGCUCCCGGCCAGCGUUACCACAUCAAGUCAUGCAUUAUCUAUUUGUAUAAUAGUACUCGUCAUUAAUGCAUUUGAAUAAUCUAUUAUCUACUUAUAAAUAUUUAUAUUAUGCUAAGUAAAAGACAAAGCACGAGUUCAAUAGUUCAAUGGUUGCCUUAUCAGCUUUUAAGCCUCUAUAUGUAUACCUUAAACAAAACAUGGGAAGAAACAUCCUAUUGUCACAAUUCAAAUAUCGUUUUGAAUCAUGUAACCACCAUAAUUUUCAUUUCAAUUUUUCUUAUGGUUCAAAGGAAGGGUUGUAUUAGAUUUGAUUUGUUUGUCAUGUAGAUAAACAAACCAGUAAUAUUUAAAUUAGUUUUUUAAAUUAUAAAGUUGUAUCAAUUUAGUCCUCUAUAUGAUGAAUAUUCAAAAUGAUUUUUGAGAUUGCAUAAUAUUAAUCAAUUUGUUCAUUUGUUUAAAUCUCGUAUAAGAUAUUUUUUUAUAUUAUUUACUCAAUUUCAAAUUAAUUUCUAAUAUUAUUAAUUUAAUGUCGUUCUAGUCUAUGCAAAUAAGCACGGAGAGAUAAAUUUGAUUAAAAAAAUUGAUCUUUAUAACUAUAAUAUUUUUUUUAUUUUGUUUUCAUAAAUUUGUUUGUUUAGUUUACUGCAAAUAUAAUUUUAUUUUAAAAUAGUUAUUCUGUUGAAUUUUUUGUUACAAAAAAUUUAACACUUUUAAUAUAUAUUUGAUUCCAUCAAGUGUUUGUGAGAAUGUGUAACAUAUAAUUCAUCCUCCUCAUUUAAAAUAACAACAACAACAAUUCUAUCACCCCCAAAUCUAAAUUCAUAAAGACGAUAGUAUUAGAUUCCCCACCGUUGGUAUUAGGAAAUCACUCAGAUGAAUUGACAAGGUUUUGUCACUAAGACGAUCUUCUAAAUUCUCCAAUCAAAAAGUUAUCCCUAACAAUGAGAAGAAAAUCAAUGUUAAAAGGAGCCAAUUUCAUUCGUGUGAUUUGAGGAGAGUAAUGAGUGACAAUGGUAAAGCAAAGGUGAAUAGUAGGGUUGUUGAAUAUGAAAUUGUGAUUAGAGAUGGUGUAAAAAAAAAGGAAGCAUGGUGACGAUGAAGUGGAAAGGUUGAGGAAGGAGGAAAUACAAGGUGGAUUGAAAGACAACAAAAAAACAGUGGGGUAAAAUUACAAAAUGGUGAACAAAUAAUCAAAAUUUGAUUUUUCAAACAACUUAUUUUAGUGUAAAAUCUAGUCUCCAUUUCUCAAUAAACAUUUCAAAACGCAAAACGGUGUUAGAGAUUUUGUAAAAUAAGGUGGACAAAAGAACUCUAUUAAAAUGAAACUGUAUUUAUAAAUGUAAAUCAAACAAAAAAAACUUACAAGAAUUAAAAUUAAAAAUAAUUACAAUUACAAAAAUAAAAAAUAUAUUUAAUGUUAUUUCUUUUCUCAUUUUCUAUAUUUUUAAUUCAGCUGAAUUUCUUAAUAGUUUAUUUUCUUGCGUAACAUUUUUAAUAUUGAUUGUUAUAAUUACAGUCAAUUUACAAAAAAGAAGAUACUCACAUAAAAAACAAAACAUAUGAAUCAACAAAGAGAAGAAUGUCAAUUUUAAGGUUAAGGUAUGCACACUCUAUUCCUUAAAGUAUUUGUUUAUUAAAGUAUUUGCUUAUUUGGAAUGUGAGCGGGAAGAAAACUUUUGUUGGGCAUUAGAGAGACAAAAAUUUUUGUUUGUUACACAAAAUAAAUUCCCUCAAGUAAUUGUGACAGACAGAGAUCUUGCGUUAAUGAAUGCAGUUGACAUUGUGUUUCCACAUGCUGUUAAUUUACUUUGUCGAUUUCAUAUCGAAAAAAAUGUUGGAGCAAAAUGCAAGCAAUAUGUCUUAAAGGAUAGACAAGAGUCAAUAUUGAAUAUGUGGAAAGACAUUAUGUAUUGUAGUAAUGAAAAAGAGUAUAUGAUGCGCUUGCAUAUGUUUGAGCAAUCAUGUGUUGAUACUAAAGUGUUUGUUGAUUAUGUCAAAGAAACUUGGUUGACUCCACAUAAGGAAAGACUUGUUGAAGCAUGGACAAAUAAAGUGAUGCAUUUGGGGAACACAACGACUAACAGAUAUUUAAUAUAAUUUUAUUAUAUAUUGUUGAAUUGUAUUAUAUUCUCUAAUGUAUCUGUAAAAAAAAAUUAUAGGGUUGAGUCAGCUCACUGGAAACUGACGUUAAUGUUAGAAAAUAACAUGUGUGGUUUUCGCGCUAUUGCAUUAUUGCUUGGUUUCGAUGAAGAGUGUUGGUCUUUGGUCCGCAAGAGAUUGAUCAAGAGAUUGUUUCUCAUGUAACUCCAUAUGAUAGAUUGUUCACAAGACGCAUUAAAGAAGUAAGAGAUUCGUUGAUGAUAUGCGGCUUAGGUGUUCAACCAAUGGAUAAAUGGUUGUCCAUACCUGAUAUGGGUUACGUGAUUGCGACAACAUAUAAUAUUAUUCUUGUCACGUUCGGUCUGACAUUUUCAAUGAUUUUCUUUCCUAUGAGGGGUUCACAUUCCGAAUCGACAAAAAAUGAUCGCAUUUGUUGUAUUGGUUUUGUUAAUGGAAACCAUUGGGUUCCGGUAAUUAUUUUCUUAUACUUUUUUAAAUUUUAUUCUGGUAAUUUUUGUCUUAUAUUUUGUUAAUUUAUUUAAUUUUUGCAGUUAAAGAUGAAAAAUGGAUUUCCAAUGUCAGACAUUGCACCAGGUUGGAAGCAAUAUCGCACCAAUGAAGCAACUUCUUGGGCAAUAUCAUACACAGGCCGUCUACAACACUGGGGGUAUUUAUUAGGCCGGUUGUCACGUGUUACCCAAAAUCCACCUACGGAACCCGUAGAUGCAAUGUCUUUAGAUGAACCUUAAUGUUUUAAAAUUGAUACAAAAUCACUUUAAUAUAACCGACAUUUCAAUUGUUAUUAAUUAAUUUUAGUUUUUUGUCAUGCAUUUUAGUAAUUGAUUUUAUCUUGUAUUUAUUUCAUAAAGUAACUGACAUAACAAUAUUUAAUUAUCUUGUAUUUAUUGCAUCAAACCUCUUGGGUCAAUGGCCACGAAUCUGAAGAGAUGUUUAUGGAAUAUAAAUACCCCAUAACUUCAGAUCAAAGCAUAACAAUCCUUGAAUAUAUACCUUGAACAACUUUGAACAAAAUUCUGAUUUUUUACAAAGUACUUGCAUUUCAUUUUCAUAUCAUUCAGAAAGGUUCUCAAGUACUUGAAUUGUUAUUGGAUUAUUUAUCAAUAUACCUCUCCUUAUUCUUAUUCAAAUCAUAUUGUAUCACUUGUAAAAGAAAGGAAUACUUUCUUAAAAAUAGGUUAAUCUAAGAUAGUGGUGUGUUAUCUUAGAAGUGUUGUUAGAAGUUUGUAGCAAGAAUCCUAGGGUGGGAGGUGUACAUUUUCUGACAAUUAGUGGAUCAAUCUCUUGUGGUGUGCAAGAGGACUGAACGUACUCUUGGUUAUAAGGGGAAUCAGGAUAAAUCUAUUGUGCUCAUCUAUUUACUGCACCUUACUAUUAGUAGACAUUAUAUUAACUCAAAAAAUCCAACUACCAUAUCAAAAUAACUAACAUAACAAUAAUUAAUAAAGUAACCGACAUGACAAUAAUUAAUAAAAUAACUAACAUAACAAUAAUUAAUAAAGUAACCGACAUAACAAUAAUUAAUAAAAUAACUAACAUAAAGUGUUCAUAAAAUAACCGACAUAGUAAUAGUUCAUCAAAAGUGUUCACAAAAUAACCGACAUAACAAUAGUUCAUCAAAAGUGUGACUACGUGAUAAAUACAAAGCUUUAUAAAAGUGAAUAUACAACUCAUCAUCUGAACUAGCUUGAUGUUGACUCAACCCCUGUUGUAUAAGAUCACCGAUCUGCUGUAGGAUAGGUGGCGGCUGUUAACUAGAAGCAUCUGCACUGGUGGGCGGUACACUAUAACGUGGGACCUGAGGUACACCAUUUGGUCGCACCAGCAGUGGAUGAGACACCUGAUAGAACCACUCCAAAUAUCGAUCUUCACACUCAGAUGGAUAUGUAGCUGGACGAAGCUUGUGAAAUAGCUCUGUCACUGGCGUCACAUAUCCCAACCAUUCCACAUCUACAUCAAAUAGUCUAGCAGGAUCUGGAAGUGGCGGUUAAGGAAUAUAUUGGAUAUAUCCAAAUUGUCUCAAACACCUCUCUGGUAGAUAUUUCACUACAGUGCUGCAUAAUCGGAUGUGACCAGUAUAAAGCGUGAUAUCAUCAAAAGGAAUGACACCGCUGUGAUUCUCCCAUAAUCUCCAUAUAACAUCUGCAGGUGUCAAUGCAUCAAUAGUACUUCUGUAUUCGUGGACCUUAUGAUUGCCUUGUUUAUAGCACCAUCUAUUCAUUCGGGCAAAACAUUCCACGUCAGCACCCUGAUCACCUCUAUUACAAAUAUUUAGAAAAUAUUCAUAAAUCCAGCACUGUUACAAAUAAAAAUAUUAAAUAAUUAAUACUAAUAAUGAAAUAUAACAUAAAUAAGUUAAAUUAAUAAAUUAAUGCUAGCAAUUAAAUACAACAUAAAUAAAUUAAAUAAAUAAUUAAUAAUUAAUACUAAAAUAUAAUUGAUACCUGAAGCAGCGUCAUAUAUCCACCUAGCAGUUUGGUGUCAUAAAGCACCAUUAGUGCAGCAGUACCCCAUGCAUAUUUAUCUAUACCGUCUAAAUAUCUGAAUAAAGGAUGGUACUUCCCAUCAACUAGAGUAUGACUCUUAUCAACGAAAAUAGUACUCCCGACUAAAUUCAACAGAUAUGCCCUAGCAGCACAGUCAAACCUCUCUGCUGCACACUGCAUUCUGAAGACCUCUUUCAACCAAUCCAGUCUAUAGUGCGCACCUCUAGUCUUUUUGGUUUCCUCCCAGAUCUCUUCCGUGGUCACUCCUAAUAGAUGGACGACAAGAUUACAUGUCGUUACUCUAUCUACUUCGGGUGGACUGUAGAACUCACCCCUAAUAGGCAAUCCGAGAAGAUUGGCAACAUCAUCCAAAGUAAUCGUCAUUUCACCAAAUGGCAUGUGAAAUGACGAUGUCUCGGAAUGCCAUCUUUCAACAAACGCAGAUAUCAAGUUGUUGUCGAUCAUCUUCAAACUACCCCGUUGUAAUGGGUUCAAACCUGACAAAUUCACCCAAUUCUCUAUGGGUCCCGGAAGUACUGGCGGAGUAAAUUGUUGCAUUUUCUUCCCAUGCGCAACAAUUUUCAGCAAUGUUUGCUCCUGUAUACAAAAAAAAUAUAUGACAUUAAAAUUAAAUUUAGACAACAAAUAUUAAUUAAUUUAAAUAUUUUUAAUGCAUUAUAAGUAAUAAUUAAUUUAAUAUAUCUCACCAAACCAUAGUCUAGUUGAAACAUGAUAACGGUAUCGUGUAAGGACAGACAAAUCAUAAGGUCCUCCAGGAUACCGUGUGAGCUCACCAGGUCCCUCAGCUGCAUCAUGUUCCUCCUCCAUAUGCUCUCCCUCAUGAGCAGGUGCAGCCUCCUCCUGCUCAUGUACAUCCACAUGCUCGUGCACCAUAUGCUCAUGUACAUCCAUCUGCUCAUGUACCACAUCUUCCUCAUGCACUAUAGAAGGCUCCCCCUGAUCAUGAUGUCCCUCAUCGUCGUCUUCAAUAAUCAUAUGUCUUCUUCUCCUUGAAGCUGUUGUUCGAAUUCUCUCUGGGAGAUUCAUCGGAGUCGAUGUAGAAGUCUCAGUGUCCCGUGUAAUUCGUAUGAUUUUGCCGUCUCUUCCUCGUGCACCCACUGAAAAAUUAAAAUAUUAAAAGAAAUAAAUCACAAUAACUUAUAAAAUUAUAAUUAAUUAAAUUAAAUAUAAAAAAAUAUACGUAACUUCCGGAAAACUUGAUGCUCAAGUUCUCUGGUAACUACCGGAAAUGUUGGUAAUCAAGUUUUCCGGAACACUCUUUUAUACUGGAUAACUUAAAAAAAAUGUUUUUCGGAACACUCUUCUGUACCGGAAAACUUCAUGCAAGAUUUCUGGUACCGGCAAACAUUACAACAAGGUUUCCGGAGUACAACUUCUGUACCGGAAAACUUCAUGCAAGAUUUCUGGUACCGGCAAACAUUACAACAAGGUUUCCGGAGUACAACUUCUGUACCGGAAAACUUCAUGCAAGAUUUCUGGUACCGGCAAACAUUACAACAAGGUUUCCGGAGUACAACUUCUGUACCGGAAAACUUCAUGCAAGAUUUCUGGUACCGGCAAACAUUACAACAAGGUUUCCGGAGUACAACUUCUGUACCGGAAAACUUGUUUUUCAACUUCUUCGGAAAUUUAUAAAAAAAACUUCUUCGGAAACGGAAAACAUUGCUGCCCUGGUAAUUUUGUGAGGUUUUAUUAUUUAUACGAGGGCAAAAUAGUCAUUUCAUUCUAAAUUUGGGGUGUAGGUAUAAUAAGGAGGGUACAAGGGAAAUUUUUUUAUAAGCAUGAGCCUGAGCUAUUUAAAUAAAUAGGAGCUUGAGUCUAACAUGUUUAUUAAAUAAGUCAUACCAGGUCAUGCCAUAACCUAUUCUCAUCUCUACCUACAAUCCAGUGUAUCUUAAUAGUUUAUUUUCUAUCGUAACCUUUUUCAUUCCGUUGAAUCGAACAUAACGAGUUUAGUUGGUUGCAAUUAACAAAAAGAAGAAUGUCAAUUUUAAGGUUAAGGUAUGCACACUCUGUUCCUACUCUCAUUUUCUUUCUUCCAAUUCGAUUAUUACACUCUAACCCUAAUCCUUCAUUCACUCACAAUCUUGACGAUGCUAUUUCAUCAUUUAAUCGCAUCAUCCAUUUAAACCCUACCAAACCCAUCUUUGAAUUUAACCAAAUUUUAACUUCCCUUGUUAAGAUUAAUCAUUACCCUAUUGCUAUUUCCCUUUUCCAACAAAUGGAAUUCAAGGGAAUUCAACCUAACAUUUUUACUUUGACCAUUUUGAUUAAUUGUUUCUGUCAACUAGGUCAACUCAAUUUUGCAUUUUCUGUAUUGGGAAAAAUUCUCAAACUUGGUUAUCAGCCUGGUACCAUAACAAUUAAUACACUUAUCAAUGGUCUUUGUCUUAAUGGUAAUGUUAUGAAAGCAUUGCACUUUCAUGAUGAUGUUAUAGCUAUGGGAUUUCACCUUGAUCAGGUUAGUUACGGGACCUUGAUCAACGCAUUAUGUAAAAUAGGUGAAACAAGAGCUGCCAUGCAAUUGCUCAGAAAGAUUGAAGGGUUAUCGGUUAAGCCAGAUGUCGUAAUGUACAGCACAAUCAUUGAUAGUCUAUGCAAAGAUAAGCUUAUUAAUGAUGCCUAUGAUUUAUAUUCUGAAAUGUCUCUUAAGAAAAUUUCUCCUAAUGUCGUCACUUACAGUACUUUAAUAUAUGGAUUUUGCAUUGUGGGUCGAUUGAUAGAAGCAAUUAGUUUGUUAAAUGAAAUGAAGUUGAAAAACAUCAACCCAAAUGUUUAUACUUUUAAUAUAUUGGUCGAUGGUUUUUGUAAGGCGGGAGAGGUUAAACAGGCUAAAAGUGUGUUAGCUAUGAUGAUAAAAGAAGAUAUGAAACCCAAUGUUGUUACUUAUAAUUCUUUAAUGCAUGGUUAUUUCUUACUUGGUGGUGUAAACAAGGCCAAAUAUGUAUUCGACACCAUGGUCCGAAAGGGAGUGACUCCUGAUGUGCAUAGCUACAAUAUUAUGAUUAAUGGAUUAUGUAAGAAUAAAAUGGUGGACGAAGCCAUGGAUCUUUUUAAAGAAAUACGUUUAAAAAAUGUGGCGCCUAAUACUAUAACAUACAAUUCCCUCAUCGAUGGACUUUGCAAAUCAGGGAGAAUCUCUGAUGUUUGGGAUCUUUUAGAUGAGAUGCAUGAUAGAGGUCAACCUGCUGACAUGUUCACUUACAAUCCCAUAUUAGAUGCUUUGUGCAAAAACAAUCAUGUUGACAAGGCAAUUGCAUUAUUGACGAAAAUCAAACACCGGGGAAUUCAGCUACAUAUGUGUACUUACACAAUACUUGUUAGUGGACUACGCAAAAGUGGAAGACUUAAAGAUGCACAAAAGGUUUUUGAAGAUCUUCUGAUUAAGGGAUAUCAUUUUGAUGUUAAGAUGUAUACUGUUAUGAUUAAAGGGCUUUGUAAAAAGGGCUUACUUGAUGAAGCAUUAUCCUUGUUAUCAAAAAUGGAAGACAAUGGUUGCAUUCCUAAUGCUGUAACUUACGACAUUAUCGUUCGUUGUUUGUUUGAAAACAACAAGAAUGAUAAGGCAGUAAAACUUCUUCAAGAAAUGGUUGUUAGAGGUCUAAUGUAAAAGUAAAACUAGAUGAGAUGCUUUCUAGUUUAAAUUUGUGAUUUGAAUUUUUGAAUAUGAUCAUCUAAUUUUUAUUUUCUUUUCAUAGUUAUAAAAGAGGAUUAGUGGAGAUGGUCACUAUUAUGUUUGUUUUGAUUAGAAGUUGAACAUUGCUAGUUUCACUGUGAUAUUUGUAACAACAAUAGUGUCUGUCUUUUAUUAUUCCUGAAUAACUAUCCCUUUUUCUUCCAAAUUUGUUGCAAAUAUGCUGGAUGCUUCUUGGUCCAAUGACAGAAGCAACCAGCACAUGAAGCCUGUUGGAAGAUAUCUUUUAGUUUACAUGCAAGAUUGCAGUUGGGGGAGGCUUUGUCAGGAUUCGCUAGAGGAGGAUAUUAAGUGUGUACAGUAUGAGAAAGAGGAAGAUAUUAAAUGAGAGUUACUAUUGUAAGGGUCUAGUUGAGAUAUAAAUAGAAGGCCUCUAAAAAGAAGGGUAUGUUUUGAUUCAUUGCAAUGAAACUGAUUUUUCAGUUGCACAAGGGAGAUAUUCCUUUGGCAGAGCUUGCUCUAAAUAGCAUGAAUAUGUAUUUAAUUUGUGUAAUCUUCUAUUUUUGAGCUAUUAUAUGUGAUGGUACUAUGGUAUAAAAUGAAGGCUGGAUGGAAAUAUAAAAGCAAAUUCUUAGAUAAUUGUCUGUGUUUGUUUGGCAUUAAAAAAAAGUGAGUCUUUUAAAACUAUUGCAUGUGCGGGAUUUCGGUAUGUAAUUCUGUGUUAUCUUAUUACACAGUGUGCUUGAUCAGUGAUAUGUUACAAGCAACAAUUUACACUUCUUGAAGAGCAUUAUAGAAAAGGUGAAGGAAGCACUUCAUUGUUGAGACAGGAUGUCUUCUUACAUAGUAAGUUUUGAUUAAACAUUUUGAUUCGAUUGCAGUUUCUAGAUUCAAACUCUGUAAACUUGUAUACUAGAUUUGAUGACUUGCACAAUGAACAAUAGUUUUUAAAUCUUGUUUUUUGGGAGGUUUAUUUUUUUAUUACCAUCAUUCAUUUUAAAUUUUAAUGAAGAUCAUUAUUGUCUUUCCAACCUUCAUAAUUGCAACCGGUAAGAUGAGUGUCUUACUGAGAUUUUCCUUGUUGAACCGAGUAGGAUCACAGUGAAUUAUAGAGAUUUUCCCCAUCCAUCUUACUUACAUAUCUUGCUAUUUAGAAUUGUGUAUAUACUAUAUGUAUCUUGAUAUCAAGUCAUGAAGUAUCUAUCUUUGUAAUAGUACUCAUGAUCAUUAAUGUAUUGAAUCAAAUAUUAUCUAUAUAUAUAUAUUAAUAUUAUACUAUGUAAAAGCCAAAGCACUAGUUCAAUGGUUGCCAUAUCAACUUUUUAACUUCUAUAUGCAUGCCUCAUAAACAAAUAUGUAUGUAUUCAGCUUUAUGAAUUUGUGUCUUUUCAGUUUUUUCAAUAACUCAAAUCAUAUUUUCAUAACUCUCAAAUUUGUCCCUCCAUAUAUAUGCCGUGUGAGCAAAUCUCUAGCGAUUUAAGAGCAUCUCCAACUCAGUAUCCUUCAUUGUGGUGUUUAAGUGGAUCCCAUAUGCAUGUACACGUCAUUCAUUUUUAUUGGUUUAACUUUAACAUUAUGCCUCUAACCCAUUUUUAUCUUCAAGAUAGUUUAUGAAAACAGGUUAUAUUAAAAUAAUUUAUCUUUUAUUAUAGAAAUAAUUUAUAUAAAAACACUUAUAUGAUAAGCACUCAUGCUAUAAGCGCUUAAUUAUAAACCAAACAGCUAGCGACAACCACUACAUCAUCAACAUAUGUCACUACAACACUGAUAUCCCCACAUACCCCUUUAUUAUACCUACUGUUUCAACAUUAAGCUUAUAAUGACCACUAAUUGGGGGUGUCCAACGAACAUCAGAUAUAGACAAAUAGGACCUACAUUUAGCAAUAGAUAUGUGUCUAUUGAACAAUAGUUGGGACUCUUGAAAUGCUACGUACCUGAAACCAUAUCUUCUUCGUGUUGGGGAGUUCAGGGACGCGAGAGCAACAACGGGUCAAAUGUUUCAGGAUGCACAAGAGAAUUUGACACCAGGUCUCAACCCACAAUCCAACAAUCUCCUCCUCAAGUGUGAGUCUCCCAUAUCAUAUACUUGCACUAUCGUUAUUACCAAUGAAAACCGCAUAUUGACUACACCGUCCGAAAUACUUUUGAUACAAGAAUCCAAAACUAGGAUCCAGUCCCCCCCCACCACCAUCAAGUCGAAUCAUAGCUCUGAUACCACUUGUUAGGGAGUCUAGGGAUGCGGGAGCAACAACGAAUCAAAUGCUUCAUGAUCCACAGCAGACUUUAACACCACAUCUCAACUCAAAGCCUUAAGGCAGUAGUAGUAAAUGGAUUAUCACUCUUAUAUAUCCAACAUUUACCACAUUCAUAGUCGACAUCAGACUUAACCUCUCACACGUGAACCUAACACUUCAAUCGAUGAUACUCCAUAAAAAGAUAUGAAAUUGACUCAUUUCAUUGUCCACAAAAAACAAAGAAUGGAUCACAUUUUGCUUAGACCUACCAACAAAAAAAGUAGUCCCACCUUAAUGAUAUUGACAGAGAUAUUAUCCUCCUUAAAAGCAAAGGGACGUGCAGACCACCUCCUCCACCAAGUAAAAAAAUCAUAUCUUGAUAACGGUCCAUAGGUAGGAAUCCAUGAUAAAAAGAAACCUCUUCCUAUCUACAGAGAAACACUUAAAAUCCUCAAAAAGAAAAGCUUUUGCCACCUAAUGACCCUACUCUUGUUACUUGGUCACCUUCAGACUAUUGUAAAACUUUAAAUCCUCCAAAAAAUACCAAACCAAUCCCUUGUUUUAUGUUCUCAGCUUCAACAUCAGAAUAUGACCAAUAAUUUCCUGCUUUAGAAGGAAAAGGGGACUCAAUCACAAACAGAUAAUCCAAACCUUUCAUACAACCCAAUGAAGUCCAACCUGAUGGAAAACUUAAACCUCUAACCCAAACGGAGGAAGUUCUAAAUUGACACUGAGAAAACAUGGUUGCUCCAAAUGACACUCUCAAGAAACUAAACAGAAAGGUGAAUAAACUUACUGAAAAAAUAGACGAAACAGAUGAAAAUCUCAAAGUUCUCUCUCAAAAAAUGCAAAAACACUACAAAACCUUAAAAGCUCAAGUCUCUCAGUUGGAUCAUGACUUAAGAAGGAUGUUAGAAGAAAGAACUUUUGGCCAAGAUUUUGACCGAAAAGAAAGAGAAAUCAAAAAGUUACAAAGCCAAGUGAAAGAGAUUGAUGAUUUCUUGAGAGCUUCCAAAGAAGAAAAACCUAAACCUGUUGAAGAUAUUUUCUUUAACCCUCCUAAUUUUCCUACUUAUUUCACACGACCAGGAAAGCCAUCUCCUCUGUACCCUACCUAUGCUUCAUCACCACCAAAUUAUGCCAAAUACAUACCCUCAACUUAUAGACAAAAAUCUGUCAGAACUACAAAAACCUCAACCUCCAGGUCCAAAGAAAAAACCGCUUGCUUAAGUAUAUCAUCCUCUGACUCCCAAGAUGUUCCUGAAACACCUCCUCCAAAUUUUCAAAAAUAAGAAAUUCCCGAUAAAAGUUUCCAAGCCAUGACAAUAACAGAAAACCAUGAAUUCCCACAAGGAAAUAAUUCUCUUGCACAAUUCUCAAGAAAAAAGAGUGAAGAUUCCUCUUCCUUUGAGAAAAAUAAUUCUUCCAAAGAUAUAUCAGUUGAUGAAAGAUCUGAAUCCUUUUCAUCAAUAUCAGAACAAGAAUCAGAAUCUGAAAGGAAUUACAUGAACAUUUCUAGACUUUUUACGGUGAAUGUAAAAGAGGAAGGAUCCCUUUAUGAAGAAUCAUUUGAAUAAAAUCCAGUCUCUAGAAAAACAAAAAUAAAUAGUGGACAUUGGUUCACGCUUGAUGAUAUACCACCCAGUCGCGGGAGAAAGAGACUCCUUGAAUUUGGUGUCUGGCUUGACACUCAGAUGAUGAAAACAGGUGUAGACACUUAUAAGAUCAUUGAAGAAUUUUAUUAUAGAAUGACAUGUACGUUGAAGGAAUGGUAUCAUAAUCUUGGUAUAUUCAAACAAGACGAAUUACACAGAUUAGAAAAUAUUGUUGUUGUCCUUGGAAUUCUUCACAAUGAAUUCAUUGGUGAUAUAGAGAUAUUUGAUAGAAAAAGCAAACAAGAAUUAUUUGAGAUGAAAUGUUGUUCUCUUAAAGUCAAAGAUCUUGAAAAACAUUAUCAAAGAAUGACCCAGAGAUAUUAUGUCCUCAAUGGAUUUAACGAUCAUAGUCUAAAAAAUACAUAUAUUUCCUCACUACCCCAAGAACUCCAACCAGAAAUCCAUAGGAUGAUAGUAACAGCUCAGAAAGAUAUUAAAGCCAUGAGUCUCGGCCAGAUACAUCAAAUAACAUUGGAGACACAUGAAAAGCUAUGUAGAUUGCACCAACAUUUCUCAGAAAUUAUAAAACAAAAAUCCAAAUUCACCAAGGCAUGCAAAAAGCCUUACUUGAAAAUCAAGUGCAAAGAUAACAAAUGCAGUUGUUCAAUAGAAAAGAAACAUCAUCGGAGAAGAUACACUAAACCUUCUAGAAUUUUCAAGAAGGAAAGGAAAAGGAAAGCUUUGAAGUUCUUUAAAAGGAAGCAAUUCAGAGGAAAAAAGAAAAAUCAAAGAUAUUUUGUUUGUGGAGAAAAAAUACAUUUUUCUAAGAGAUGUCCUAACAAAACCAACAAAGUCGUAAAGUUGAUUGACUCUCUUCAACCUCUAGAAGGAGAUCUAGAAUCCUUGUAUUAUGAACAAAGUUUUGCCGAUGAGGAUACAAUUUUUGCUCUUCCAAACUCUUCCUCAGAUAACUCUUCUUCAGAUGAAGCAUCGUUUGCUGAAUCAGGAGAUGAGAUGUUUUUCUAUUUACUCAUUCAAAGAAGUAGAAAGUACUUUACCUACCCCUCAUCUCCCUUGUGUUGAAAUCCAAGUCCUCGCCUUAAAGUUUUCUCAUCCCGAGAAAGUUAUAGCCUAUAUGGAUACUGGUGCCGAAAUAACAAUGAUAAACUCAAGCAUCCUCUCUACAAAAGCAUGGGUGAAACAUGUUGCAUACUUUGUAGCAGCAGAUGGAAAAGCUUUCAGAACAUAUGUGAUGAAAAAGGAGAAAAUUGGAAUCAGAUUCUUCUUUGGCAUUGUUUGGACAAAGGUCAUUGGUAGUAGCCUCCCAAAUAAAGAUAUUGUUGUGGGUAUGGAUGUUUAUUCAGCAGCAAAUAUGCUUCAAAUUAUCCCUACAGUAAUCAAAUUUAAACAAAAAUUUAAACCUUAUUCAGGAAUAUUAAAGUUAUAUUCCAUUUAUGAAGUUCCUGCUAAAUAUGAAGAAAAUAAGUUCAAACUGCUCAAACUUUGUGCAGACAGUCAUGAAAAAUUCUCUCAUCCAAAACCUUUAUGGACAAACAAAGACUUUUUUGUCCAACUUCAUUUCAAGCUCAAUGAGGAUAUCAAUCCAACCAAAGCUACUCAUCCAGGAAUGAGUCCAUCAGAUUUAGCUUUAUCCCGAGAAGAAUGCAACCAAUUACUCAAACAAGAUCUGAUAGAACCCACAAAAUAUGAAUGGGUUGGCCAAGCAUUUUAUGUUGAAAAGAGAUCUGAAAAAAUAAGAGGAAAAAAUAUGUUAGUAAUUGAUUAUAAACCUCUUAAUCAUUUUCUGAAAGAUGAUAAAUUUCCCAUUCUGAAAACCUCCUCAUUAAACAUCUUCCUCAAAGAUGCUCAGAUCUAUUCCAAGUUUGAUAUGAAGUCAGGAUUUUGGCAAUUCGGUGUUGAUCCUAAGGACCGUUACAAAACGGUGUUCUGCAUUCCUAAUGCCCAAUACCAAUGGACAAUAUUAUCAUUUGGGCUCAAGGUAGCUCCCUCACUAUUUCAAAAGGCCAUGACUAGAAUCUUUGAGCCCAUUCUCAAUAGUAUCCUCAUAUAUAUCGAUGAUGUGUUUUUAUUUUCAAAAGAUGAAAAUGCUCAUAAACAGUUAUUGGGCCACCUCAAAUAUGAGGAUCUUGUGUAUCAGAAAACAUCUAACUAUUGAUCCAUGCUACGGUCCUCUCUAUUAUGAGAUGAUAGUUUUAGUUAUUGGUCUGUGUUUAAGACUUUAUACAUAUGAAAGGUUAUUGUUUGUCUAGCUUUACUGUGUAGUUAAGGCUAAUCUCAUAACAUGUGAGGCUCCUGGCCAGCAUUACCACAUCAAGUCAUGAAUUAUCUAUUUGUCUAAUAGUACUCAUCGUUAAUGCAUUUGAAUAAUCUAUUAUCUACUUAUAAAUAUUUAUAUUAUACUAAGUAAAAGACAAAGCACUACUUCAAUGGUUGCCAUAUCAGCUUUUAAGUCUCUAUAUGUAUACCUUAAACAAAACAUGGGAAGAAACAUCCUAUUGUCACUAUAUAGUGUUGAUGAUGGAGACCCUCAAAGGAAACAAUUCAGAUAUCGUUUGAAUCAUGUAACCACCGUAACUUUUUAUCAAUUUUUCUUAUGGUUCAAAGGAAGGGUUAUAUUAGACUUGAUUUGUUUGUCAUGUAGAUAAACAAAUCAGUAAUAUUUAAAUUAUUUUUUAAAAUUAUAAAGUUGUAUCAAUUUAGUUUUCUAUAUGAUGAAUAUUCAAAAUGAUUUUUGAAAUUGCAUAAUAUUAGUCAAAUUGUUCAUUUGUUAAAAUGUCGUAUAAGAUAUUUUCUUGAUAUUAUUUACUCAAUUUCAAAUCAGUUUCCAAUAUUAUUAAUUUAAUGUCCUUCUAGUCUAUGCAAAUAUGCACCAAAUCAGUUUCCAAUAUUAUUAAUUUAAUGUCCUUCUAGUCUAUGCAAAUAUGCACGAAGAGACAAAUUUGAUUAAAAAAAUCAAUUUGAAGAGUCAUUUUAAAAUAUCAAUAUACAUGACUAAUUAAGGUAGAUGAUUGUACAUAAAUUUUAGCUCUCCAAAAUGAAUAAUCUACUUUAAGCCAUAUUUUGUUAUAGAUGAAUUUAACUUAAUAUUUUAUAUACAAUACAUAAAAAAACUUACAAUAACCAAAUAAAAACUUACAAUAACUAAAAUAAAACUAUAUUUACAAAAUAAAACUUACAGAAUAACUCUUUUAAAAUAAAAUUAUAUUUAUAAAUGUAAAUCAAAUAAAAAAAACUUACAAUAAUCAAAAUAAAAAAUAAUUAUAAUUGUAAAGAUAAAAAAUAUAUUUAAAGUUGUUUAAAAAAUAUAUUAAAAAAUAUAUUUAAUAUCGAUUGUUAUAAUUACUGUCAAUUUACUCACAGAAAACAAGAUACUCACAUCAAAAAGAAAACAUAUGAAUCAACAAAAAGAAGAAUGUCAAUUUUAAGGUUAAGGUAUGCACACUCUGUUCCUACUCUCAUUUUCUUUCUUCCAAUUCGAUUAUUACACUUUAACCCUAAUCCUUCAUUCACUCACAAUAUUGACGAUGCUAUUUCAUCAUUUAAUCACAUCAUCCAUUUAAACCCUACUCCACCAAUCUUCGAAUUCGAUAAACCCUUCUGCAUGGCUAAAGCUCCGACUACUUCUGAAAAAAUAUGGCGCCUAAUACUAUAACAUACAGUUGCCUCAUCGAUGGACUUUGCAAAUCAGGGAGAAUCUCUGAAGUUUGGGAUCUUUUAGAUGAGAUGCAUGAUAGAGGUCAACCUGCUAACGUGAUCACUUACAGUUCCAUAUUAGAUGCUUUGUGCAAAAACAAUCAUGUUGACAAGGCAAUUGCAUUAUUGACGAAAAUCAAAGACAGGGGAAUUCAGCUAAAUAUGUGUACAUACACAAUACUUGUUAAUGGACUAUGCAAAAGUGGAAGACUUAAAGAUGCACAAAAGGUUUAUGAAGAUCUUCUGAUGAAAGGCUAUCGUUUGGAUGUUAGGAUGUAUACUAUUAUGAUUCAAGGGCUGUAAAGAGGGCUUACUUGAUGAAGCAUUAUCCUUGCUAUCAAAAAUGGAAGACAAUGGUUGCAUUCCUAGUGCUGUAACUUACGAAAUUAUCAUUCGUUGCUUGUUUGAAAACAACCAGAAUGAUAAGGCAGUAAAACUUCUUCAAGAAAUGGUUACUAGGGGUCUAAUGUAAAAGCAAAACUAGAUGAGAUGCUUUCUAGUUACAAUUUGUUAUUUGAAUUUGAAUAUGAUCAUCUAAUUUUUAUUUUCGUUUCAUAGUUAUACUACAGGAUUAGUGAAUUUGGUUCACUGUUAUGUUUGUUUUGAUUAGAAGUUAAACAUGCUAGUUUCAUUGUGAUAUUUGUAACAACAGUAGUGUCUGACUUUUUUUAUUCCUGAAUAACUAUCCCUUUUUCUUCCAAAUUUGUCGCGAAUCUGCUGGAUGCUUCUUGGUCCAAUGACAGAAGCAACCAUCACAUGAAGCCUCUUGGAAGAUAUCUUUUAGUUUACAUGCAAGAUUGCGGUUGGGGGAGGCAUUGUUAGGAAUCGUGGGAGGAGGAUAUUAAAUGAGAGUUACUACUGAAAGGAAGGGUGUAGUUGAGACAUAAAUAGAAGGGCUCUAAAAAGAGGGGUAUGUUUUGAUUCAUUGCAAUGAAAUUGAUUUUUCAGUUGUAACAAGGGAGAUAUUCUUUUGGCAGAGCUUGCUCUAAAUACCAUGAAUCAUCCACUCCGCUCAUUUCAACUUGGAGUUUGAAAUUGAAAGUAGAAAAGUGACAAUAGAUAAUGUAAGAGAGCUGAUUAUCAAGAGGUAUGAAUGGCCAUAUAUUUCAAUGAAUUUAUGCAAUUUAUUGUCUUCUCCAUUCUAUCGAUAUCUCAAACACAGCUAAUUUUAAGAUAUUUGGUGGUUUUAUACUACAAUGGGUGCUAAUUUAUUUAUUUCCUAAGCUAAAUAUUUAGUACAAUCGAAGUUCUUGUUCUGACUUUGGUAUUUCUUCUAUUAUUCUAGUUCGAUAUUUUAAUGUUUUGUUGUGUGCUGAAACUGCAUCUCCUGUUUUCUGUCGUAAGUUUCAUAAUUAAUUUAUGUUGUUGUGAUGAUCUAUAAAAUGGCGUAAGGAAUCAUGUGGCCACUGUGUAGUUAAUUGCAGUGUUGCAUAGCGGCCCUGAGACCGCUACGCAUAACCUCGUUGUGUUGUGUUUUUUACUAGCGAUUGUAGUGGUGGCUGCAGUGAAGCUCAUGUAAAAACAUGAAUAUGUCCUCAACUUAUUACUGCUCUCUCUGUGUGUUCAAUAUUCUGUCAUUUUUGUUCUUUCAAAUGUUGUGUGGCCAAACCUAGCUGUAGGACUUCUUUGUUGUGAG
RNAcentral lists this long non-coding RNA (20469 nucleotides) under Cicer arietinum (chickpea). RNAcentral describes it as "long non-coding RNA (CARI_LNC002609)". The record is from RNAcentral. Lineage: Eukaryota; Viridiplantae; Streptophyta; Magnoliopsida; Fabales; Fabaceae.